CCUACGGGGAGCAGCAGUGAGGAAUAUUGGUCAAUGGACGAGAGUCUGAACCAGCCAAGUAGCGUGAAGGAUGACUGCCCUAUGGGUUGUAAACUUCUUUUAUAUGGGAAUAAAAUGUUCCACGUGUGGGAUUUUGUAUGUACCAUAUGAAUAAGGAUCGGCUAACUACGUGCCAGCAGCCGCGGUAAUACGGAGGAUCCGAGCGUUAUCCGGAUUUAUUGGGUUUAAAGGGAGCGUAGGUGGAUUGUUAAGUCAGUUGUGAAAGUUUGCGGCUCAACCGUAAAAUUGCAGUUGAAACUGGCAGUCUUGAGUUCAGUAGAGGUGGGCGGAAUUCGUGGUGUAGCGGUGAAAUGCUUAGAUAUCACGAAGAACUCCGAUUGCGAAGGCAGUUCACUGGACUGCAACUGACACUGAGGCUCGAAAGUGUGGGUAUCAAACAGGAUUAGAUACCCUUGUAGUC
RNAcentral lists this ribosomal RNA (460 nucleotides) under uncultured bacterium. RNAcentral describes it as "partial 16S ribosomal RNA". It matches the Rfam family "Bacterial small subunit ribosomal RNA", at positions 338 to 795 of the family's 1533-position model. The record is from RNAcentral.